CUACUACCAGCCAAAGAAUACUUUCUAGUGGCAUUCCAAGUAAAAAGUUGAUGACUCACUACCCUCCAAGUGUUUUCGGGCAAGAACAAAGUUACAGCAGUCGGGCUAAUUUGCCUAAAAGGAUGAAGAGGCCCCAGAGACAAGGACACUCAACCAAUCAAUCAAACAAACAAACAUACAAACUCUGCUCUCAAGCCAAAUUUGCAUUCAAAAGCUGAAAUCAACCUAGAUUCAGUCUUUUUUAGUGACAAGCUAUCUCUUGUGCAGUUUAGAGCUCUGUUAUCUCCCUUAGUGGCGUAGUAUUGAGUCCCUUGUGUAAACUUUUUUACCAUCCAUCCCAUUUUAGUAUAUAAACCCAUGUUAAUUCUAAGAAAAGUGAUUGCAAGAGGUUCAACCUUGACAGACAAGGUGAAAUCUUGACCGACGCUCUUUGUUUGUUUUCUAAAUUUGUAGAUCUAUUACUUAAUGCAUUCUCCAGUAUGUAUUCAAGUUAUUUCCAUCAACUUUCCUAUUUUAAAAGUUCCAUUUACAUCUGGAUCUGGUUAGUUUAGUGGAUAUGUUAUCAUUAAAAUCAAUUAAGAACCAAGCAAAUGACUUAAGGGGAUCUGGACUCCCUUAAUUCGAACAUACAAGACUAUGAACUAAAAGUCCUUGUUUACAAGGCAAGAAAAAGAACUUAAUGUAGACUUAACCCAUCCAUAAUAAUCCUUUGAUAACAAGAAGUCCGAGUAACUUGGGGCGCAAGUAAUAGACUUAAAACACUCUUGUUCUACAUCUACUAUACUUAGAUAGCAAUGGCACGCCUAGCACUCAGUUAGUUUUGAUUGCGAGUCUCAGGGCUGACACCUAAGGUCGUACAAAGGUACCUUUCAGAACUAACUUUGUCCUCUUCUUGUAGCACAUCAACAAGUAAAAGCCCGAUUACACAUCCAAAGUGUCAAUCCCUUGGGGAGUUGUGCUAACAUCCAAGGAUCCUUCUCCAAAGAAAUCUUCGCCCAAACACAAAGCCAUCUUGAUUUUUCACUUGGCUAUUUUCUUUUUUAUUAAUGGAAGAAUGAUGAAACUCCAUUUGGAUUUCGGGUCAAUUUAUAAUCCUAACUAAAGGCGCAACAAAAAAUAUGUAACUAAUUGCUAACUAUUUUUAAGCAUGUCCUUAAGAAGAUGUGUUGUAGUUCAACUUUCUAUUUUAUAAUUAGUAAUAUGUUUAGGCUUUUUUUAUUAGCACCCCAAACAAUAUUCAAUACACCCUGCAUUUUAAAUAACUUAUAAACCCUAAUAUGUAAUGACAAUUUUGACCUAAUUAAAUAUACAAAUUGAGCACCACCCGAAAAUGGA
RNAcentral lists this long non-coding RNA (1335 nucleotides) under Malus domestica (apple). RNAcentral's name for it is "long non-coding RNA (MDOM_LNC018638)". The record is from RNAcentral. Lineage: Eukaryota; Viridiplantae; Streptophyta; Magnoliopsida; Rosales; Rosaceae.